Molecule: ribosomal RNA, 487 nt
Filed under: uncultured Propionibacterium sp.
Lineage: Bacteria; Bacillati; Actinomycetota; Actinomycetes; Propionibacteriales; Propionibacteriaceae
Description: bacterial SSU rRNA
Rfam family: Bacterial small subunit ribosomal RNA
Source: RNAcentral
AGAGUUUGAUCCUGGCUCAGGACGAACGCUGGCGGCGUGCUUAACACAUGCAAGUCGACGGAAAGGCCCUGCUUUUGUGGGGUGCUCGAGUGGCGAACGGGUGAGUAACACGUGAGUAACCUGCCCUUGACUUUGGGAUAACUUCAGGAAACUGGGGCUAAUACCGGAUAGGAGCUCCUGCUGCAUGGUGGGGGUUGGAAAGUUUCGGCGGUUGGGGAUGGACUCGCGGCUUAUCAGCUUGUUGGUGGGGUAGUGGCUUACCAAGGCUUUGACGGGUAGCCGGCCUGAGAGGGUGACCGGCCACAUUGGGACUGAGAUACGGCCCAGACUCCUACGGGGGGCAGCAGUGGGGAAUAUUGCACAAUGGGCGGAAGCCUGAUGCAGCAACGCCGCGUGCGGGAUGACGGCCUUCGGGUUGUAAACCGCUUUCGCCUGUGACGAAGCGUGAGUGACGGUAAUGGGUAAAGAAGCACCGGCUAACUACGUG